UUAACUUCAUUAGAAAAUUGUGUUAUUACUCCUGUCUUUACUUUUCGUGUGGCCGCUCAGACAGAACGUGUUUCAGCUGGCGGCUCUCAUGGACUCAGAGCUUCACCGUCUGGGUUUUUUAUAGUUUGGACGAAGCGGCCGCUGAAGUUGGCUUACGAUUGAAGGUUCAGGACGCCUUCGUAGCUACCAGCUGUGGUCCAACUAUAAGGAGCAGACUUUACUGUACAUCGUAAGUGAACUGCAAUAUCCAGAGGCAGCUCUAUGGAGCAUCGAAGAAAGAGUUGUUUUUGUUGAGCUGAGAGAAUGAGAGUGGCAAGCCUUGGAGAUCUGCAUCGGAGGCCAUCUUUCAGACAUGCACCGCUGCUGUCCGUCCAGGAUCCUCCGGUUGCCCAGACGAUGUUAAGCUGUCACAGCAGAUCAUCCUGCAGACCUCUGGUCUCAGUGUUUCCCUUCAGACUCCCAGUGGGCUCACAGCUUCAGGGUGACCAGAGACCUUCACCUUUCUGGAGCAGGAACACCCGGCCAAAUGCACUGGUGACACAUUUAAUU
Long non-coding RNA from Poecilia latipinna (sailfin molly), 549 nucleotides. RefSeq lists it as uncharacterized. The transcript has 2 exons. NCBI's taxonomy places the organism in Eukaryota, Metazoa, Chordata, Actinopteri, Cyprinodontiformes, Poeciliidae. The record is from RefSeq and is a predicted model, not a curated record.